Long non-coding RNA from Gallus gallus (chicken), 319 nucleotides. RefSeq lists it as uncharacterized. Lineage: Eukaryota; Metazoa; Chordata; Aves; Galliformes; Phasianidae. The record is from RefSeq and is a predicted model, not a curated record. The transcript is spliced from 2 exons.
GCGAGGGACGGCCGUGUGUGUGCGCAUGGCCCAGCUCCCAGCACGUCCUCCUGGCUGGGAGGGGCGUUCCCAUGAGAUGAGCCUGGGGCAGCGGAGGAGCAUCGAUGAUGCCCUCCGGACCCAGGAUGAGGAAGGAAGAACUGGAUGGGAGAGGAGAGCACGGCUGACACCGUCAGUGUGAAGUGCCUCGUGUGGGAGAAGAGACUGGGCCAGCAGCAGACAGAUAGGGAGCACAGGGACGUAGUUAACACCAGAAUGUCUGUUAGACAGUCGUGUUAUUGUCGAAAAGCUCUGUAAAUAAAUAGUUUGAUAUCUCUCA